CAGCCGCCGCGGUAAUACGUAGGGUGCAAGCGUUAAUCGGAAUUACUGGGCGUAAAGCGUGCGCAGGCGGUUCUAUAAGACAGAUGUGAAAUCCCCGGGCUCAACCUGGGAACUGCAUUUGUGACUGUAGAGCUGGAGUACGGCAGAGGGGGAUGGAAUUCCGCGUGUAGCAGUGAAAUGCGUAGAUAUGCGGAGGAACACCGAUGGCGAAGGCAAUCCCCUGGGCCUGUACUGACGCUCAUGCACGAAAGCGUGGGGAGCAAACAGGAUUAGAUACCCCAGUAGUCCCUGUCUCUUAUAC
Molecule: ribosomal RNA, 301 nt
Filed under: uncultured bacterium
Lineage: Bacteria
Description: partial 16S ribosomal RNA
Rfam family: Bacterial small subunit ribosomal RNA
Source: RNAcentral